Molecule: ribosomal RNA, 253 nt
Filed under: uncultured bacterium
Lineage: Bacteria
Description: partial 16S ribosomal RNA
Rfam family: Bacterial small subunit ribosomal RNA
Source: RNAcentral
UACAGAGGUCUCAAGCGUUGUUCGGAUUCAUUGGGCGUAAAGGGUGUGUAGGUGGCGCGCUAAGUCGGGUGUGAAAUUUCGGAGCUUAACUCCGAAACUGCAUUCGAUACUGGCGUGCUUGAGGACUGGAGAGGAGACUGGAAUUUACGGUGUAGCAGUGAAAUGCGUAGAUAUCGUAAGGAAGACCAGUGGCGAAGGCGGGUCUCUGGACAGUUCCUGACGCUGAAGCACGAAGGCCAGGGGAGCAAACGGG